Pollicipes pollicipes is the source of this 1038-nucleotide long non-coding RNA. RefSeq lists it as uncharacterized. NCBI's taxonomy places the organism in Eukaryota, Metazoa, Arthropoda, Thecostraca, Pollicipedomorpha, Pollicipedidae. The transcript is spliced from 2 exons. The record is from RefSeq and is a predicted model, not a curated record.
CCCACCAGUAACGUCACUACCACAGUCCUCUGCCCACUGGCCCAACACCGCCUCUGUUUCCGCUGCUGCCGCAGGUUGGCCGUCGCCGCCCCGGCCUCGGGGCCCGGCGGUGACCUGACCGGCGACCCAUGAUGACGUCACUGGGACAGGCGGUGUCGUUGUGCCUCCGGGUAACGUUUGCGAUCGUCCUCGUUGCCAUCCUGCUGAACAUGGCGUACGGCCUCUUCAUCGGAGUCAGCGAGUUCUACGGUCACGAAGAGCUGAAGCCGGUGCAGUAGCGCCUGAUGAAAACGGGGAUGAAGCUGGUGCGGGUGGCGGUGCUGGAGGCCAUGCUGAACCAGGGACGAUUUCAGUUUUGGCCCUUCGAGCCCCGGCCGGUGUUGAAACCGGCGCAGAAGCCGGUUCGGUAUCGCGUGCUGUAGACGGCAGCGACCCCGAAUUGCACCGAAGCGAGCAGGGAGGAAGGCCCAGGAGAAUGCGUUGGUGACUCCAAGGGGCCAGCGUUCCAGACCUUGACAGUGCAGAGACCCUGAAAUCCUGUGACGCUGUGACCCUGUGACCCACGCGACCUUGUUGACCUCACCGUAGGCCCUCAGCAACGCAGCUCCGACCGACUGCUUAUCGAGUUCAGCGCUGCACGCGGUAGCGGGGUGCGGUCCCAGCAGCCGCGCGGGCACAAGGUCACGUCGUCGGUCGCUCGCUGCUGAUGACCUGCGCUCCCGGCGCUGACGAUGAUGCACGUCAGGUGACCCGGCGCGUCCUUCUAGUCCUGUAAUUUCGGCGUUGUUGCAAGUCGUGAAAACGUGCCUGCUAGGCAAGAAGCCACAAGCUGGAUUUUCUUUGGGGUGUCGCGUGCUGUGAUGGAUCCUUUUCCUCCGAUCAAGCAGGUCACAUUUCUGGACAACGUCAAUGCUCUGCUUGCUCCGAUAGCUAUCAUGGCUGUUAAAUGCAAUGUAGAUGCAAAGCAACUUGUUGAGAAGAACCAGCCUACGUGCCCGGAUAAAUGUCAGCCGUUAGCCAAUAGAGAAAUGUGAGGCC